CUUGACGAUCAUAGAGCGUUGGAACCACCUGAUCCCUUCCCGAACUCAGACGUGAAACGACGCAUCGCCGAUGGUAGUGUGGGGUCUC
This 88-nucleotide ribosomal RNA is filed under the name Pseudomonas aeruginosa. Lineage: Bacteria; Pseudomonadati; Pseudomonadota; Gammaproteobacteria; Pseudomonadales; Pseudomonadaceae. The record is from RNAcentral.